This is a small nucleolar RNA of Heterocephalus glaber (naked mole-rat), 79 nucleotides long. Its record names the gene SNORD96. It matches the Rfam family "Small nucleolar RNA SNORD96 family". From Rfam's summary of the family: snoRNA Z37 is a member of the C/D class of snoRNA which contain the C (UGAUGA) and D (CUGA) box motifs. The record is from Ensembl. NCBI's taxonomy places the organism in Eukaryota, Metazoa, Chordata, Mammalia, Rodentia, Bathyergidae.
GAUCCUGGUGAUGACAGAUGACAUUGUCAGCCAAUCCCCAGAAGGGAAUGAGGACAUGUCCUGCAAUUCUGAGUGGAUU